AACGCAUCUUGCACUCUUAAGUUAUUCUUGAGAGUAUGCUUGUUGGAGUAACGGAAAAGCUCAACCCCGCUUUGUCAUUGAUGAAGUAGUCUGGGAUUUGAAUCGUGACGCGUGUUGUCUUUAACAAGUCAACUCCGUUGAAAUGUAAGAAGCUGAAAGCUCUUCGGAGUGAUGUCAGACCUUCAUUGUUGUCAUAAAUUCACGUUUACCAUCAAUAGUGUUGUUGAAUCUGUCGCAGUAGGCUUAUCCAAAAUCCGAAAGACAUUUUGUUUUUCUUGCUUUGUUCUCCAAUCAAGUAGGACUACCCGCUGAACUUAA
Molecule: unclassified non-coding RNA, 318 nt
Filed under: uncultured Calyptella
Lineage: Eukaryota; Fungi; Basidiomycota; Agaricomycetes; Agaricales; Tricholomataceae
Description: partial contains 5.8S ribosomal RNA, internal transcribed spacer 2, and large subunit ribosomal RNA
Source: RNAcentral